Molecule: unclassified non-coding RNA, 256 nt
Filed under: plant metagenome
Description: partial contains small subunit ribosomal RNA and internal transcribed spacer 1
Rfam family: Eukaryotic small subunit ribosomal RNA (bases 1-46)
Source: RNAcentral
AAGUCGUAACAAGGUUUCCGUAGGUGAACCUGCGGAAGGAUCAUUACAGAGUUGUCGACACGAGUUGUUGCUGGUCCUCAAAUGGGGGCAUGUGCACGCUCUGUUCACACAUCCACCAUCCACCAUGCUGCGCACCCCUCUGUAGUUCUAUGGGUCUGGGGACGCACGUCUUCCUCCCGUGGUUUCUAUGUCUUUACACAUACACCGUAGCGAAGUCUUAUGGAAUGUACUCUGCGUUUAACGCGAUAUAAUACAA